GAUGAACGCUGGCGGCGUGCCUAAUACAUGCAAGUCGAGCGAACAGAUGAGGAGCUUGCUCCUCUGACGUUAGCGGCGGACGGGUGAGUAACACGUGGAUGACCUACCUAUAAGACUGGGAUAACUUCGGGAAACCGGAGCUAAUACCGGAUAAUAUAUUGAACCGCAUGGUUCAAUAGUGAAAGACGGUUUUGCUGUCACUUAUAGAUGGAUCCGCGCCGCAUUAGCUAGUUGGUAAGGUAACGGCUUACCAAGGCAACGAUGCGUAGCCGACCUGAGAGGGUGAUCGGCCACACUGGAACUGAGACACGGUCCAGACUCCUACGGGAGGCAGCAGUAGGGAAUCUUCCGCAAAGGGCGAAAGCCUGACGGAGCAACGCCGCGUGAGUGAUGAAGGUCUUCGGAUCGUAAAACUCUGUUAUUAGGGAAGAACAAAUGUGUAAGUAACUAUGCACGUCUUGACGGUACCUAAUCAGAAAGCCACGGCUAACUACGUG
This 497-nucleotide ribosomal RNA is filed under the name uncultured bacterium. Its description in RNAcentral is "partial 16S ribosomal RNA". It matches the Rfam family "Bacterial small subunit ribosomal RNA", at positions 28 to 507 of the family's 1533-position model. The record is from RNAcentral.